RNAcentral lists this long non-coding RNA (274 nucleotides) under Capsicum annuum. RNAcentral's name for it is "long non-coding RNA (CANN_LNC005835)". Lineage: Eukaryota; Viridiplantae; Streptophyta; Magnoliopsida; Solanales; Solanaceae. The record is from RNAcentral.
GGCCGUGUGAAGGAGAUUGUGAAGUGCCUUUGUAAAAGAGGUGAGGUUAUGAAUUUGUGGGCAAAUUCCUCUCAAGAUGGAGAGGAUGAUACAGUAUGAUCAUGAUCAUAACACUUUUGAGUUUUUGAAAACUAGUCAAUAAAGGGCCCUUUUGUCAUUUUGUCUAUUAUUGUAAUGUAGUAUAAAUAAAACAUUGUAGGGUUUAUUUCUUUAGUUGAUCAUUAUUAUUGAAGAAUACUUCUCUUAGAGUGAGAGAGAGUCUAAUUAAAACUAG